UACGUAGGGUGCGAGCGUUGCUCGGAAUUACUGGGCGUAAAGCGUGCGCAGGCGGGCUUUUAAGCCAGACGUGAAAUCCCCGGGCUUAACCUGGGAAUGGCGUUUGGGACUGGAAGUCUGGAGUGCGGCAGAGGAGACUGGAAUUCCUGGUGUAGCAGUGAAAUGCGUAGAUAUCAGGAGGAACACCGAUGGCGAAGGCAGGUCUCUGGGCUGACACUGACGCUCAUGCACGAAAGCGUGGGGAGCAAACAGG
This 253-nucleotide ribosomal RNA is filed under the name uncultured bacterium. RNAcentral describes it as "partial 16S ribosomal RNA". It matches the Rfam family "Bacterial small subunit ribosomal RNA", at positions 524 to 776 of the family's 1533-position model. The record is from RNAcentral.